Austrofundulus limnaeus is the source of this 1159-nucleotide long non-coding RNA. RefSeq lists it as uncharacterized. Lineage: Eukaryota; Metazoa; Chordata; Actinopteri; Cyprinodontiformes; Rivulidae. The record is from RefSeq and is a predicted model, not a curated record. The transcript has 3 exons.
UAUAUAUUAGAACUUAUUUCAGCAUGUAGUGAUUGCAGUGGCAUGUUUCUGACCAAGUGUUCUCAGCAUAUCAAUAGUUUAAACUUUCAAAUUAGGGGUUGGUUCUGGUAUUUCAGUACUGUAAAAAUUAACUGCUUUAUUGCAAUUAUCACUUCUUUUGGUAAUUCCCAUUCCUGGCCCGAACAUUUUGUCUGCUUCACUAUAGAAACUGACAAUUCAAAUGUGAGUGAAGAAAACUAGCGGUCACUAAAAAAAAAAACAAUAUACAGUAUUUUGAUGCUAUGCUGGAAAAUCUGGCUAUAGUUAAAGACCACUGUCCUGGAUCCACUGAACUGAGACCCAGGUGUUGGGGAAGGAAAAAAAAUGCUAUAAAUACUUUUGAUUCUCCACACUUCAUCCCUGCGAUUAGAAAUCCCCUAAGGCAUCUGCUUAACACUUUGAAAAAUUCAAUAAUUGAUACCCACAAACCAUGACAAGACUAUGGGGGGCAUUUUCAGGCAUCUGCUUCCAACGUUUGCAUUUUGAUUAGAUGAAGGCAGUUWAGCGAAGCCACUAUAAGGUCAAGCUGAGGUCUUGAAGAUUUUAGAGAMAAUAAGAUGGACUUUUGUUCCAUGCAUUCAGAUCUUUUAAUUAGAAAUGUGUGGAUGAAUGGAGAGGAAUGUCACUGCAUCAACAAUGUGAGUUGAUGCAUAUCCAUAUAAAAAUGUGUAGUGAAAUGCACAUAAUGUAUUAUUCGGAGUAACAUCUGUAAAAUUGCAAUUGUAGCGUAUUUUUCUGAAGCCUGUAACCUCAGGAGGCUUGUUGCAUCACUGUUGUGUUUGUUUUAAAGCUCUCUAAGACACGAACAGCAGGAUUUAUCUCCCACCUCUCCCCCCUCAGGCCCUGAGUCACCGCUGUAUUUUGGCCUCAUGAGAUACCUAAUCUGAUUUSAAGCAGCUUUCCAGAAUUAAAAGAAGAAGAAUGCCACAGGCUCCCUGGUUUCUCUGGCUCUGAAGGGGGCGUGGUUUCCUGACACUGGCAGGAUGAUGUUUSAUGAUGAUGAGAGCAAAUGGGCUUUAAUGUGACACGCUUCACUCCUCUUCAUCACCUGCAAGUGUGGAAGAGAAGAUCGGUUUUAUGGGUCACUGGUGCCCAUAUCCAGCAGUCACUGUGCAAGAGG